GAGUUUGAUCAUGGCUCAGAUUGAACGCUGGCGGCAUGCCUUACACAUGCAAGUCGAACGGCAGCACGGGAGCUUGCUCCUGGUGGCGAGUGGCGAACGGGUGAGUAAUGCAUCGGAACGUAUCCUGGAGUGGGGGAUAACGUAGCGAAAGUUACGCUAAUACCGCAUAUUCUGUGAGCAGGAAAGCGGGGGACCUUCGGGCCUCGCGCUCUUGGAGCGGCCGAUGUCGGAUUAGCUAGUUGGUGAGGUAAAGGCUCACCAAGGCGACGAUCCGUAGCAGGUCUGAGAGGAUGAUCUGCCACACUGGAACUGAGACACGGUCCAGACUCCUACGGGAGGCAGCAGUGGGGAAUAUUGGACAAUGGGCGAAAGCCUGAUCCAGCCAUGCCGCGUGUGUGAAGAAGGUCUUCGGAUUGUAAAGCACUUUAAGUUGGGAGGAAGGGCAGUAAGUUAAUACCUUGCUGUUUUGACGUUACCGACAGAAUAAGCACCGGCUAACU
RNAcentral lists this ribosomal RNA (500 nucleotides) under bacterium enrichment culture clone ALO1_GLFRUDD03F25UJ. Its description in RNAcentral is "bacterial SSU rRNA". It matches the Rfam family "Bacterial small subunit ribosomal RNA", at positions 9 to 502 of the family's 1533-position model. The record is from RNAcentral.